GAAAACACGUUGAUCAGGAGAGUAGAAUUAGUGACCGGAUACAGCGACCUCGGCAUAGUGUGAGCGAGGAUCAGUUACUAAGACGAAAGUAGCCUGUGAGUGGUCGAUGCAACGUCAGGAGUGUCGAACGGGUGCGCCCGUAAUCGCGCCAGCGUAUUCAGUGAUGAGCACGUGGUAAGGUAAUGCUAGUAAUAUCAUUACAAACAAGGGUGGUAACACGCGGUAGCGUCCCUUCC
RNAcentral lists this non-coding RNA (236 nucleotides) under Limosilactobacillus gastricus. RNAcentral describes it as "Lactobacillus gastricus T-box sequence". It matches the Rfam family "T-box leader". Rfam says of the family: Uncharged tRNA acts as the effector for transcription antitermination of genes in the T-box leader family. T-boxes are found upstream of many aminoacyl-tRNA synthetase genes and some amino acid biosynthetic genes usually in Gram-positive bacteria. The anticodon of a specific tRNA base pairs to a specifier sequence within the T-box motif, and the NCCA acceptor tail of the tRNA base pairs to a conserved bulge in the T-box antiterminator hairpin. Lineage: Bacteria; Bacillati; Bacillota; Bacilli; Lactobacillales; Lactobacillaceae. The record is from RNAcentral.